GGACGGUGCCCGGGCGGCUCUGUGGUUGGUCCACGCCUGCUCUGUCCGGCCACAGCUCUGGGCCUCUUUUACUGGCCUUCUUUGAGCUCUCCCUGGACUUUGGAGCGUCAUGAGAUUUUUCCAUGCUUCUGGCUCUGUCGCUCACCAGCUGAACAGUGACUUGGUGUCAGGGUGGUAAAGCAAAUAGGUGCCUUCCUGGGAAUGGGCAAAGGCGGGGAGUCAGGGAAAGGGAGGCUAGAGGAUAGACAGGACCUCCCAGUAGUGGCAAGAACAGUCUCAGCUCCUGCCUUCCUGGGACCCUUCUGCUGAGGUGCCCCGGGCUGAGGAGGAGGCUUCAUGGGGGCCAUUUCACAGGCCAAGAGGCUGAGUCACCUGCCUAAGGUUGGGCCUCUGGUGAGUGACAGGUUGCAGUUGGACCGGAAAAGAACUCCUGCGGGGAGCCGCUAAUCCCAGAGUAAACAGAUGACCUCGUGGUGCCUUUCUCCCGGAGACCUGACCUUCACCUGGAAGCAACUCCUCCCCCUCCUGGGUCUUCUGUGGACACUGCCCUAGCAGAGCUGGCUUUGCAUCCUGGCCGCCCCCCUUACUAGCUGUGUGACAGAGGCCAGCAAGUGCACCUUUCUGAGCCUCAGUUUCCUCACCUGGAAAGCAGGGAUACAAGGACCCAUCGGGCAGGACUGUUGUAAAAUAUUGUGGUGGGCUUUCCAUAAGUGCUGGCUAUUUAUUAUUAGGCAGGGAAUGAGGCUGAGUCUUGAAGCUGGAGCCAAAUGUCAGUGGCAGCCAAAGGAAGUGAGGACAGGUAGAGCUGGGACAAAGGCACUCAGAUGUCAAUGAAUAGUCCCUGUCUGGGAGACUGAAUAAAAUAGCC
Sapajus apella (tufted capuchin) is the source of this 868-nucleotide long non-coding RNA. RefSeq lists it as uncharacterized. The transcript is spliced from 3 exons. The record is from RefSeq and is a predicted model, not a curated record. Lineage: Eukaryota; Metazoa; Chordata; Mammalia; Primates; Cebidae.